GCUUACGACCAUCUCACCCUGAAUGCGCCCGAUCUCGUCUGAUCUCGGAAGCUAAGCAGAGUUCGAGCCUGGUUAAUACUUGGAUGGGAGACUGCCUGGGAAUACCAGGUGUUGUAGGCU
This 120-nucleotide ribosomal RNA is filed under the name Petromyzon marinus (sea lamprey). Lineage: Eukaryota; Metazoa; Chordata; Hyperoartia; Petromyzontiformes; Petromyzontidae. The record is from RNAcentral.